ACUACACUAAACAUUAUUAAAAUGGAAGUCAAUUUUUAUCAUGAUACUUAAUGUCAUACAGUUCGAAUCUCUUAGCAGUUAACACAGGAGACAACGUUAUGCCCCCUAUUAGCCUUGUCAAUUCAUA
Molecule: long non-coding RNA, 127 nt
Organism: Amblyraja radiata (thorny skate)
Lineage: Eukaryota; Metazoa; Chordata; Chondrichthyes; Rajiformes; Rajidae
Exons: 3
Source: RefSeq, a predicted model, not a curated record